UACACAUGCAGUCGAACGGCAGCACGGGGGCAACCCUGGUGGCGAGUGGCGAACGGGUGAGUAACAUAUCGGAACGUGCCCUGGAGUGGGGGAUAACUAGUCGAAAGAUUAGCUAAUACCGCAUACGAUCUACGGAUGAAAGUGGGGGAUCGCAAGACCUCAUGCUCGUGGAGCGGCCGAUAUCUGAUUAGCUAGUUGGUGGGGUAAAGGCCUACCAAGGCAUCGAUCAGUAGCUGGUCUGAGAGGACGACCAGCCACACUGGGACUGAGACACGGCCCAGACUCCUACGGGAGGCAGCAGUGGGGAAUUUUGGACAAUGGGCGCAAGCCUGAUCCAGCAAUGCCGCGUGAGUGAAGAAGGCCUUCGGGUUGUAAAGCUCUUUUGUCAGGGAAGAAACGGU
RNAcentral lists this ribosomal RNA (401 nucleotides) under bacterium 140_xplvp374. Its description in RNAcentral is "bacterial SSU rRNA". It matches the Rfam family "Bacterial small subunit ribosomal RNA", at positions 50 to 454 of the family's 1533-position model. RNAcentral also lists the same sequence under 1 other name. The record is from RNAcentral.